UUCUUUGGCCAGUUAGCAUUUGCUGGUAUCAAAUUUAUUCAAAUGUAUAGUCAUUGAAGUUAGUUCUUUUUCAUUUCAUUCAUAUAUUUCUUCUUUUGUUCCCUUUCCUUUUACUUGAUACAUUCUUGGGCUAAUCAAGUGAAAUCAUUGGUCACCUUUUAGCAUGAUGCUGCAUGUAUGACUCUAUUAAUGGAUGGCAGUGUUGUUUGGGUCGUGAUUUGAGCUUUUAACUCAUGUAUUCUUAAUGGAGCAAAUUUGGGAUAAAAGGAUCAUUGAUCAUCCAACCUUUCCAGUGUUUUGGUAGUGUCGUGUGUAACCAUGCACCGUUUCUUAACAAACACUUUUGUUGUGAUCUUAACUUUCUCUGUUGCAGAACAGUCUGCAGUUUUUUUUGCACACCAUGGAGGUUUUAGAGUUUUGGGUUUUUGGA
Populus nigra (black poplar) is the source of this 430-nucleotide long non-coding RNA. RefSeq lists it as uncharacterized. The record is from RefSeq and is a predicted model, not a curated record. NCBI's taxonomy places the organism in Eukaryota, Viridiplantae, Streptophyta, Magnoliopsida, Malpighiales, Salicaceae. The transcript has 2 exons.